This is a non-coding RNA of Trichobilharzia regenti, 46 nucleotides long. The record is from Rfam. Lineage: Eukaryota; Metazoa; Platyhelminthes; Trematoda; Strigeidida; Schistosomatidae.
GCACUGAUGAAGAGUCCCAAGCUAGGAUGAAACAGCUGUCCAGUAC